RNAcentral lists this transfer RNA (76 nucleotides) under Nitrospirota bacterium. RNAcentral's name for it is "Nitrospirae bacterium (sediment metagenome) tRNA-Asn". It matches the Rfam family "tRNA". From Rfam's summary of the family: Transfer RNA (tRNA) molecules are approximately 80 nucleotides in length. The record is from RNAcentral. Lineage: Bacteria; Pseudomonadati; Nitrospirota.
UGGUGUGCAGCUCGAUUGGCCGAGCACGCGGCUGUUAACCGUGAGGUUGUGGGUUCGAGGCCCACCGCACCAGCCA